This 95-nucleotide small nucleolar RNA is filed under the name Cephalotus follicularis. RNAcentral's name for it is "Small nucleolar RNA R44/J54/Z268 family". It matches the Rfam family "Small nucleolar RNA R44/J54/Z268 family". From Rfam's summary of the family: R44, J54 and Z268 are members of the C/D class of snoRNA which contain the C (UGAUGA) and D (CUGA) box motifs. Most of the members of the box C/D family function in directing site-specific 2'-O-methylation of substrate RNAs. The record is from Rfam by way of RNAcentral. Lineage: Eukaryota; Viridiplantae; Streptophyta; Magnoliopsida; Oxalidales; Cephalotaceae.
UGUGCAAGUGAUGAUAAAAUAGACAGGGACAUCAGCACUCUAUAAGAGUAUGAUGAAGUAUGAUGACAUGUCUUUGGGAAUCUCUCUGAUGCACA